Molecule: ribosomal RNA, 442 nt
Filed under: uncultured bacterium
Lineage: Bacteria
Description: partial 16S ribosomal RNA
Rfam family: Bacterial small subunit ribosomal RNA
Source: RNAcentral
CCUACGGGAGACUGCAGUGGGGGAUAUUGCACAAUGGGGGAAACCCUGAUGCAGCGACGCCGCGUGGACGAAGAAGUAUUUCGGUAUGUAAAGCCCUAUCAGCAGGGAAGAAGAAAUGACGGUACCUGAGUAAGAAGCACCGGCUAAAUACGUGCCAGCAGCCGCGGUAAUACGUAUGGUGCAGGCGUUAUCCGGAUUUACUGGGUGUAAAGGGAGCGCAGGCGGCACGGCAAGCCUGAUGUGAAAGCCCGGGGCGCAACCGCGGGACUGCAUUGGGAACUACCGAGCUGGAGUGCCGGAGAGGUAGGCGGAAUGCCUAGUGUAGCGGUGAAAUGCGUAGAUAUUAGGAGGAACACCAGUGGCGAAGGCAGCCUACUGGACGGUGACUGACGCUGAGGCUCGAAAGCGUGGGGAGCAAACAGGAUUAGAUACCCGUGUAGUC